RNAcentral lists this ribosomal RNA (40 nucleotides) under Polyporus umbellatus. Its description in RNAcentral is "partial 28S ribosomal RNA". The record is from RNAcentral. Lineage: Eukaryota; Fungi; Basidiomycota; Agaricomycetes; Polyporales; Polyporaceae.
AUCUGACCUCAAAUCAGGCGGGAUUACCCGCUGAACUUAA